UAUCGUUCCCGGCAGCAUCGUGUGGUGGAGCCGAGCACUUGAAUCUUCCUGCAAGUUCAGCCACAGAGCGGCGGGGCGGAGCCUCCCCCUGAGGGCGGGAAAAGGAUAGAAGCGCCAAAGUGUUUUUCCUGGCCAGAGGCGUCCAUCUUGGUUUUCUGACGCCGUCAACUUGGGUGUGACAUCAAUCCCAGGUCCGACUUCAAAGGUGGUCUCAUCAGCAGCUCUGUUUGGAUGAAGAGGAACCUGCAGCCGGUUGUUGCUGCAGGAUGCCUCCUGCGCUCUAAAGGGAAGUUGAGUCACUCGAGCGGAGAUGUUUUUUUCUCUCAUUUCUCCUUUUGUGUUUCUUCACUUCUUCUGCGUGUUGACCAACUAACUGCUGGUUGCAUAAGGAGACAGUCUGAAACUAACAGUUCUGGUGAAAUUCAAGGCAGGAGCACUGGAGAAACACGCUGCCACAAAAACGACUGAUUUUUAAAUGAGGUUUUGAAUGGAGGACGCCUGUUUCCUCUUGAAGGAGGCAAACAGUUUCUAAAAGAUUGUUACUGAUGAAACAGUCAAAGAAAAUGAUGAAAUCAUCUUCUCUCCUUUCAGGUGUGUCUCAGCUUAUCUGCUGACCAAUCUGCUGAUCAGUGUUGGUGGAUUGUCAAGCAGCACAGGAUGUGGUGGGAGGGGAGGAGGAGUGAGGCACACAGGAAGAAACGCUGUGUUAUGAAACCUUAUAAGUACAUCAGUAUCUUGGAAAGCGGCCAUGCACGAGAAGAUACCCAAAGCUGCCUGAGCGACAGCGCUGCCUCUGGCUGGUCGCAGCGCCCCCUGCAGGCGGGAGGUUGGACGCCGCCUUCACAGAGUGGAAGUCUUCAGAGGGAAAAGGUGAGGAGGAGACUGUGAAGUGUGAUCUGGCCACAGGGAGGAAGGAGGAGAAGGGGAGAGCUGCGCAGGACAUUGGGAACCCUGGCAGAGUUUUGAGAUGCUCGUCAAUUGAAGGAUUACACGAUCUGAUGAUUUUACAGAGGGGCCAGAGGUCGCUCACUCGCCGGUCCAUCUGCCAUGCUGCGUCUGGAGGGAACCAAUCAACAGAGAGAGAUGCCAAGAAAAGAGGACCAAUCAGAGGAGGGGAUGGAGACAUUGGGCGGGCCACAGACUUACACUGCAGCGUCCCAGGAGACAGGAUGUCCUCGUCCAUGUCGUCGAGGUCAUCGGAGAGGAGGAGGUGCUGAGGGGUCGGAGGUCGCAGGCCGAGGAAGGACGGGUCCAGGUUGAGGGCGACGGCCAGCGCUCCCAGGCCCGGGUUAUUGACCACACAGAACCCCGUCAGAGACUCGAUCUGCUGCCAGCGGUGCAGCUUCUCCCGCAGGGCGGCCGUCACCUCGGCCAGGGCCUGUCUGAGGGGGAGGGGGGGCGUUAAUGUGUCUACGUGCAAUGAGGUCACUUCUGUUAAAUAAAAUGUAACCAUAUAAUAAAAUGACAAUGAAGCUGAAAUUUGAACCUAAAA
Molecule: long non-coding RNA, 1492 nt
Organism: Micropterus salmoides (largemouth bass)
Lineage: Eukaryota; Metazoa; Chordata; Actinopteri; Centrarchiformes; Centrarchidae
Exons: 8
Source: RefSeq, a predicted model, not a curated record